RNAcentral lists this transfer RNA (76 nucleotides) under Veillonella magna. RNAcentral's name for it is "tRNA-Lys". It matches the Rfam family "tRNA". From Rfam's summary of the family: Transfer RNA (tRNA) molecules are approximately 80 nucleotides in length. RNAcentral also lists the same sequence under 1 other name. Lineage: Bacteria; Bacillati; Bacillota; Negativicutes; Veillonellales; Veillonellaceae. The record is from RNAcentral.
GACUCACUAGCUCAGUUGGCAGAGCACCUGACUUUUAAUCAGGGUGUCCCGCGUUCGAAUCGCGGGUGAGUCACCA